RNAcentral lists this ribosomal RNA (253 nucleotides) under uncultured prokaryote. RNAcentral's name for it is "partial 16S ribosomal RNA". It matches the Rfam family "Bacterial small subunit ribosomal RNA", at positions 524 to 776 of the family's 1533-position model. The record is from RNAcentral.
GACGAACCGUGCGAACGUUGUUCGGAAUCACUGGGCUUAAAGGGCGCGUAGGCGGGCGGUCAAGUCAGGGGUGAAAUGCCACGGCUCAACCGUGGAAGUGCCUCUGAUACUGGCCACCUCGAGGGAGGUAGGGGCGUGCGGAACUUCCGGUGGAGCGGUGAAAUGCGUAGAUAUCGGAAGGAACACCGGUGGCGAAAGCGGCGCGCUGGACCUCUUCUGACGCUGAGGCGCGAAAGCCAGGGGAGCAAAAGGG